UUGUCUUGCUCUCAACAGCUCAUCCUUUACUCUCUUUCUCUCAAUGCUUCCAUCCAUCAUUAAAGCCCUUCCAUCCAUCGCACCAUCCAUCACAACGCUUUCAUCCAUCGCACCACACCUCCAGAUUCAAGCGCCUGUGAAUGAAAGUCUCCAGGAAACUCCAUCACCGGCGCUCAAUCAAAAUCUAGGUUAACAAUGUAGCAGUUAGUAAAAUUUCUAUAGACCUUCAUUCUCUAGAUUCAUCAACAAAAGAAAGCAUUGUGGUAAGCAUCAAUUAUUUUUAUUUAAAUAUGUUGUUAUUAAAAACAUGUUCCAACUGCCAAUUGGUAUAAUUUGGUAUCCAAUUUCUUUAAUUGUUCCAACUGCCAAUGUGGUAAACAAGAACUUGUGUAGUAUUAUCAUUAUAUGUAUUACUAUAACCACAUCGCUAAAACUUUUUUCAA
Dioscorea cayenensis subsp. rotundata (Guinea yam) is the source of this 443-nucleotide long non-coding RNA. RefSeq lists it as uncharacterized. The record is from RefSeq and is a predicted model, not a curated record. Lineage: Eukaryota; Viridiplantae; Streptophyta; Magnoliopsida; Dioscoreales; Dioscoreaceae. The transcript is spliced from 2 exons.